Long non-coding RNA from Vespa mandarinia (Asian giant hornet), 140 nucleotides. Lineage: Eukaryota; Metazoa; Arthropoda; Insecta; Hymenoptera; Vespidae. The record is from RefSeq and is a predicted model, not a curated record.
GCAACGUCGUUAUUCAACAUGAGAGCCACUCGAGCAGCCUCAGCGUUUCUCCUAUUCUAUUCUGCAAUCGGAAAAACCAAGGUUGAAAAAGUUUGGUAGGAUGGACGACGACAAAGGAGAAAGAGAAAGAGGAAGAAUAA